UCGGGAAUUUUGGGCAAUGGGCGAAAGCCUGACCCAGCAACGCCGCGUGAAGGAUGAAGUAUUUCGGUAUGUAAACUUCGAAAGAAUAGGAAGAAUAAAUGACGGUACUAUUUAUAAGGUCCGGCUAACUACGUGCCAGCAGCCGCGGUAAUACGUAGGGACCAAGCGUUGUUCGGAUUUACUGGGCGUAAAGGGCGCGUAGGCGGCAAUUCAAGUCAUCUGUGAAAUCUCCGGGCUUAACUCGGAACGGUCAGAUGAUACUGCUUUGCUAGAGUGCAGAAGGGGCAAUCGGAAUUCUUGGUGUAGCGGUGAAAUGCGUAGAUAUCAAGAGGAACACCUGAGGUGAAGACGGGUUGCUGGGCUGACACUGACGCUGAGGCGCGAAAGCCAGGGGAGCAGACGGGAUUAGAUACCCCAGUAGUCCCUGAGCGGGCUGGCAAGGCGCAU
RNAcentral lists this ribosomal RNA (447 nucleotides) under uncultured bacterium. RNAcentral describes it as "bacterial SSU rRNA". It matches the Rfam family "Bacterial small subunit ribosomal RNA", at positions 355 to 825 of the family's 1533-position model. The record is from RNAcentral.